Molecule: long non-coding RNA, 529 nt
Organism: Camponotus floridanus (Florida carpenter ant)
Lineage: Eukaryota; Metazoa; Arthropoda; Insecta; Hymenoptera; Formicidae
Exons: 3
Source: RefSeq, a predicted model, not a curated record
AUUUAUUAAAGAGCUACCAUAUGUAGUGUCUGCAAUCUGUUAUGAUGAAAAUUAGAAUACCACUAGGAUUGACUAGAGAUCAAUUUUACGUUGUACUGAUCUUAGGGACAGUCAGCGGUUUAUAUAAUUGGAAAAGUUUGUUGGAGAAUCAUUUGAAAGAAGAAUACGCAAAGACAGUGGCGGAAAAGGAAGAAUCAAAUGAGUCUACCAGCAAAAACCAGGAACCUGUUGAUUCAAAAAUUUAGUAAACUCGGGCUUAUAGUAAUUGGUGGAGCUUUGGUUGUAACAUGUUUUAGAAUUUAUAUAAAGCCAUGGUAUAUAAAACGAAAGGGGAUGCAAGCAGAAGAACAUGCAAAUAUUAUUUACGAGUUACGCAAAAAAAGAAUUUUAGAGCAGAAAGAAAAUGAAAUUUGAAGUAGAUUCAAUAUUGUAUAUUGCCAUAUUAUUUACAUGGUUCUUUAUUGAUACUCUUAUUUAAAUAAAUAAAAGAUGUAAAUAGAACGAUACAAUAAAAUCUCUAUUGUUCCAA